CAUCAUGCUAAGUGGAAUAAGCCAAACCCAGAAAGUCAAGGGUCAAAUGUUUUCUCUCACAUGCAGAAGCUAGACCAAAAUCAGGAUAAAAAGAUGAGGGUACCCCAUGAAAAUUGAAGGGAGAUUAGUGGAGUAGAAGAAGGAGAUUGAGAGGAUAGGAGGGGGAAAGGACAGGAAAAGGGAGAAAUAUGGAAUCAAAUUAACCAAAUUAUGCCAAGUAUAUAUGUAAAUGAACCACAGUGAAUUGUCAUUUAUGGAUAUCUAUAAAUCACUAAUUAAGAAAACUAUAAAUAAAUAGGAGAAAGACCAAUGGAGUAAAGGAAAAGAAACAGAGAGAAAGGGGGAUGGAAAGAGGAAGCCCUGGGGACUGCAGAGGGCAAAGUAUGUCCCGUUCACGUAUGAUGAUGUCAAAAUGAGCCCCCUUAUUAAGUAUGACAUUAACAAUAUAUUAACUAUAACUAUAAUGCUCUACUAAAAUAUAUUUUUUAAUUUACAACUGUAAGCCUAUCAUAUCUUGUCUAAAAUAAAGUGGCUCAGAGAGGUUGAAAGUAAAAGAUAGGAAAAGGUAUAUCAAAGUAUGUCUACAAGUAUCAGAAGAAUUUGGUUAAAGUGAAAUAUAAAAUAGGACAAAGAAUAUUACAGAACAUGGUCCAAAGAGGGCAAACAAGUAAGAGUCUGAAGUGGUAAGUAACAAAGCACCGGAAAUGUCUUUAUAAAACUAACUGUAAACAGAGUGAGGGUUGUAAAAAUAAUAUUUCAAUAAAUUUGGAAGGUUUGAGUUUUGGUUCAGAAGAGUCAAUAUUUUCAGAGACUGUACACCUGAAUCAAUUUAUAAAUUCUGUGUUAUUUCAGUCAUAAUCUUGACAUAUAGGCUUUGUUUUGUUCUUGUAUUUGCUUUUGUUUUUUAGCUUAGAUAAAGAUAAAAACUUGAGAAACAUUGUCAUCAACAUUCUGAGAAAGAAGAAUAAAGACAAUAUCAUUGGUCUUCUAGACAUCAAAAUGUUCUUAAAGAUAAAAUAAUAAUUUAAAAUCAUGCAACCCAGAAAAACAAAGGGAAAUAAAUGUUAGAAUCAAUGGAGUAGAAUAGUACAGGAACAGAACCAGACAUAUGUGAGAACUUAGUUAGGAUGAGGGCAGAAUUUCCAAUAAAUGAGAAAAUCUGAUUAUAUCAUUAAUGUCUUGGGGAAAACUAGAUAACUACAGAGAAAAAAAUAGCUUUCUCACUUUGAAAUAUUUCCAAAUGAUUGAGGAACAUAAACAUAAAAAUGAAAUAAUAAUUAGGAACAAGAAAGGUAAAUAUUUUGAAACAUCUGCAUGGGUAAGCUUUUUCUAAGAAACACCGUGGAUGGUAUGAUUUCAGAUUUUGUUUUUCUCUUUAAUUUCGAGGUUAGAUCUUUUUAAAAUGAGAAAAUCUCAAAUGCUUUAAGUAUAUUUGAAAACAACUUUACUGAAAUUUAAUUCUUAUAGAAUAAAUGACAUACAUUUUUAAGUGUAGAGAUAAGUUUUGCUAUAUGUACACACCCAUGUUGCCAUUUUCAUAAUUAAGGAAUAUGACACUUCCACCAUAGCACAAUGUUCCCUUACACACUCUGCCAGUCAAUGCCCACUUGUCACUGCCAUCCCUAAGUUAACAAGAAUCUGUUUUCUUCCAUUAUAGAUUAGAUUUAUUUGUCUUGAAGUUUUUCACAAAAGGAAUUGAUUCUAUAAUAUGUAAUAUUUUGCAUCUGUUUCUUUCACUCAAGGUAAGUAGUUUGAGAUUUAUUCAUGUUGUUCCAGUUUUGAUAAUUUAUUCCUCUUUAUACCCAUUAAAUUUAUGGAAGUGAUAUGCUACCACUUGUUUGUUCAUUAAACUACUGAUGGAAAUUUUCCCCCCAAAUUUUGGGGAAUAAAAUUUCUAUGAACAUUGACAUGGAAAUCUUUGAAUGGACCCAUGAUAAGCAUAACAACAGUCCCCCAAAAGAUCAGAUUCUAAUCUCUUAAACAUCUAAAUGUAAUCUUAUUUAAAAAAUUGACUUUGUAGAUAAGGUUAAAAAUUUGAAAUGAAGAUAUUGUCUUGAAUUUUCUGUGGUCCUUAAACAUGACAGCAAGUGUCCUUAUAGGAAAGGCAGUGGGAGAUUUGUCACUGAUACAUUAAAAAAAAAAAAAAGGUAACAUGGAGACAAAGUAUAAAGAGGCUUGAAAAUGCUGGCCUUGAAGACUAACUAGACUUAUGCAGCCACAACUCAAGAAAUGCCAGCAGCCACCAGGACCUGGAAGAGUUAAGGAAUGAUGGUCUUGGGAGAACCUCAAGGUGAAGUAGAGGUGAGACAUCAUAGUCUUCUCAGAUCCUUCCUGGCUAUGUGCAUUUCCACAUGCCCAGUAAUAUGUUGAAACUUUUCAACACUUUAUUUCACAUAUUUUCCUUAUGAAUUUUUUGUUCUGCGUCUCUUUACUUCAACGGGUGUCUCUGCAUUGGCAGCUGCAAAACUGAACAACUGCUAUUGAUUAUUUUCAGCAAAUGUCAGGGGGAAAUGGAGUUUGACAGCUUGUGGGCUCUGAAUGAGAUUUUAUAAGGACUAUCCCUGUGAAUGGGAUUUUCAGUGAGCUGGGUCAAAUGGUGACUAUUCUUGGGGCCUGGGUCUUUCAGAGACACCCACACCGUUUUCACUUCUCUGGUGACGUUAGGCAGUGGUAGCAAACCUAUUGAAUUUCAAAGCUACCAUAGAGCUGGCAGCUAAAAUAUCACAAAGUUCAUGAUUCUUACUAAGAUUUAGGUAUUUUUCUUGAAUAAAUACUUCUCGUUGCAAAUUUUUGGUUAAUUUCCAGAGGACUGAAAAAUUAUUUUGUUUUGUUUUGUUUUGUUUUUUGCCACUGUUUCUUAUGGAGGCAAAAAUUCCCCAGGUCUUUAUUCCAUCACUCCAGGAGUGCUUCUGCUUACUGACAUUUUGGUGUUCAGUGUCUUGCUCUUAGAAUCUACUGGAACAAAGUAUAGAGUCCUAAAACUUACAAACAGUCCAUCAGUCCUUCACCAGAGUACUGUGGUUAUUUCUCUUGGCUCUGUUUUCCUUACCAUACUAAAAGACAUGAAGGUCAUUUCAUCAAGGUCAUUCUCUGGUGGAUUUUAAGGGCAUACUCUUCCUAAGCCAGGAAUUUCUUGUGUAAUCAGGUUGUGAAAUUUCUAACAGUGGUUAAAAGUUGCUGUAUCAUAUCUCGAUUUCAAACUCUGGGCCAUAUUAUUUCAAGAAUUUGGGUAUUUCAAUACUUAAGAAUAAAUAUCCUCCUUCAUUAAGCCCAUUUCUUCUGGACAAAUUGUAAAAUUUAUGGUUCAAAUCCUUUCCUCAAAGAUGUUGAACAAAGGAGAUGCUCAUGUGUAAUGUACAUGAAAGCCAAACAGGGUGCCUGACAAAUCUUCACCUUGGUGUGCCAUUCUUCUAACUGGAGGAAAUGGUGUCAUAAGCAGUGUUGUGCUUGGGUAGAAAUAGCAGAGGGGACCUGAAUGUAGUUACCUAUUUGUCCUUCACCUUUCCUCUGUGUUUGUGCUUUCUCACGGGUUGCUCCUCACAGAAAUUCUCAUUAGAGGAGGCACUUCGGUAACAUUUCCGCAUGCUUUGACAUUUUUUUUUUUUUGUAGAAAAAUUUUCAUUCUAUUGGGUUAAUUCCACCUCAAGGUAUUUGCAUACAUGGUGUGGGUCUGGCCUUUGACGUUAUCUUCCUGAAUGAUCUCUGAUUGCUCACUCAGGCAUAUUGUAGACACACCGUCUGAUUGAAUCUUGUGCUAUCUUUGCCAAAUCAAAUCUGUAAAGUUCACUUGCAAUUUAAUGUAUUGUUUUUGAGUCAUCUUGACAUUUUGACUUCGUAAGUGUAAACUGAAAACUGCAUUUACUGGAAAUUUGUUUUUAAAAAUAAAACAACAUAUGCCAGAUCCCUGAUCUACGGAUGCUUUAUAAAAUUAGGCAAUGCUUAUGAGGUAAUGCUGCUGAAAGAAAAUUAAAAAUAGGAAAUUUAUCUCUAAUAUUUCUAUGACACAUGAAAGAACAAGACUGGGUUCAAUACCAGAAAAAAACAUGCCAGGAAGUAUGUCAAUG
This 4064-nucleotide long non-coding RNA is filed under the name Marmota monax (woodchuck). The record is from RNAcentral. Lineage: Eukaryota; Metazoa; Chordata; Mammalia; Rodentia; Sciuridae.